UAGGGAAUCUUCCGCAAUGGGCGAAAGCCUGACGGAGCAACGCCGCGUGAGUGAUGAAGGUCUUCGGAUCGUAAAACUCUGUUAUUAGGGAAGAACAAAUGUGUAAGUAACUAUGCACGUCUUGACGGUACCUAAUCAGAAAGCCACGGCUAACUACGUGCCAGCAGCCGCGGUAAUACGUAGGUGGCAAGCGUUAUCCGGAAUUAUUGGGCGUAAAGCGCGCGUAGACGGUUUUUUAAGUCUGAUGUGAAAGCCCACGGCUCAACCGUGGAGGGUCAUUGGAAACUGGAAAACUUGAGUGCAGAAGAGGAAAGUGGAAUUCCAUGUGUAGCGGUGAAAUGCGCAGAGAUAUGGAGGAACACCAGUGGCGAAGGCGACUUUCUGGUCUGUAACUGACGCUGAUGUGCGAAAGCGUGGGGAUCAAACAGG
RNAcentral lists this ribosomal RNA (429 nucleotides) under Actinomycetes bacterium. RNAcentral's name for it is "Actinobacteria bacterium partial 16S ribosomal RNA". It matches the Rfam family "Bacterial small subunit ribosomal RNA", at positions 355 to 776 of the family's 1533-position model. Lineage: Bacteria; Bacillati; Actinomycetota; Actinomycetes. The record is from RNAcentral.